CGACGAUCUUCAAUUUUAUCGAACCUUGAAAACAACCACUUGGCCGGACUAACAGUACUGAUCGAUCUGUUAUAACGGUUCAGUUUUCUUCUACUGCUGACUUAAUUGCUCAAGAAUCGACAUUAGAAAUUGUACCCUUGAAGGCUAAUGAGAUGUAACAGAGAGCGUUUUAAAGUCGACAGAGAAGAGUUGCUGAAAAAAGAUUGGUGAUUCAUACAAGAUACUGCUAACGAGAACACAAGUGGAGGAAAUCCUCAACCAAUAGGAUCAAUCUGCCAGGUAACACUUGACAAUUAAAGAGAAAGCAAGUCUUUGGGUCAAGCCCUCAAGUAAACAAGGAAAAGAGUUUUUAAGAAC
Actinia tenebrosa (Australian red waratah sea anemone) is the source of this 357-nucleotide long non-coding RNA. Lineage: Eukaryota; Metazoa; Cnidaria; Anthozoa; Actiniaria; Actiniidae. The record is from RefSeq and is a predicted model, not a curated record.